AGGAUGAACGCUGGCGGCGUGCCUAAUACAUGCAAGUCGAGCGGUAAGGCCUCUUCGGAGGUACACGAGCGGCGGACGGCUGAGUAACACGUAGGAACGUACCCCAAAGUGAGGCAUAAGCACCAGAAAUGGUGUCUAAUACCGCAUGUGCUCUAAGGAGUAAAGCUUCGGCGCUUUGGGAACGGCCUGCGCAUGAUUAGCUUGUUGGUGAGGUAAAAGCUCACCAAGGCGACGAUCAUUAGCUGGUCUGAGAGGAUGACCAGCCAGACUGGGACUGAGAACGGCCCAGACUCCUACGGGAGGCAGCAGUAGGGAAUUUUCCACAAUGGGCGAAAGCCUGAUGGAGCAACGCCGCGUGCAGGAUGAAUGCCUUCGGGUUGUAAACUGCUUUUAUAUGUGACGAAUAUGACGGUAGCAUAUAGAAUAAGGAUCGGCUAACUCCGCGCCAGCAGCCGCGGU
Molecule: ribosomal RNA, 459 nt
Filed under: uncultured bacterium
Lineage: Bacteria
Description: SSU rRNA
Rfam family: Bacterial small subunit ribosomal RNA
Source: RNAcentral